AAAGAAAGAAAAGAGAAUUAAAUGAAAAUUGUAAGUCCAUGAAUCUAGAAGAAAGGUGCAUUUACUCAACUUUUGCUAGGACAUCAGGCCCUCCAGUGGCAGAAGUUCCCCCAAAGGAGCAAUUUGAUCUGGAUAUCCAAUCUCCUACAGCCAAAAGCAGUGUAAUUUUUCUAUGGUGAAGGAACUAUUGGAGUAUAUUGCUAUGCAGCCUGACCUAAGCAGCUGACCUUGAAUAUCAAGUCAUUCUUUCUAUUGCUAGAAGCAAUAUUGCAAGCCAUACUGCCCAGAUUGAUUGAGAAGAGCAAACAAAGAGUGCAGGUCACGGACAACCAGCAGAACAACCUAUUUGUCAAGAAACAAGAUGACAAUGCAUCAUAGCAUAGAAUGCUUCCUUGAAGAAACCACAACAGUAGGAUUUGGUAAAUUGUUAUUCAGAGAACUCACUUGGAAGAUUGCUUUUCCAGUGAAACAUUUUCAGAAGAAAAAUUCAUCACUGCAAGAAAAAACUAUUAUGCAGAAGAUUUAAAGACU
This 531-nucleotide long non-coding RNA is filed under the name Fukomys damarensis (Damara mole-rat). Its description in RNAcentral is "lncRNA (ENSFDAG00000023911.1)". The record is from RNAcentral. Lineage: Eukaryota; Metazoa; Chordata; Mammalia; Rodentia; Bathyergidae.